Molecule: ribosomal RNA, 501 nt
Filed under: uncultured organism
Description: eukaryotic LSU rRNA
Rfam family: 5.8S ribosomal RNA (bases 136-289)
Source: RNAcentral
CCGGGAUGUUCAUAACCCUUUGUUGUCCGACUCUGUUGCCUCCGGGGCGACCCUGCCUUCGGGCGGGGGCUCCGGGUGGACACUUCAAACUCUUGCGUAACUUUGCAGUCUGAGUAAACUUAAUUAAUAAAUUAAAACUUUUAACAACGGAUCUCUUGGUUCUGGCAUCGAUGAAGAACGCAGCGAAAUGCGAUAAGUAAUGUGAAUUGCAGAAUUCAGUGAAUCAUCGAAUCUUUGAACGCACAUUGCGCCCCCUGGUAUUCCGGGGGGCAUGCCUGUUCGAGCGUCAUUUCACCACUCAAGCCUCGCUUGGUAUUGGGCAACGCGGUCCGCCGCGUGCCUCAAAUCGACCGGCUGGGUCUUCUGUCCCCUAAGCGUUGUGGAAACUAUUCGCUAAAGGGUGCUCGGGAGGCUACGCCGUAAAACAAACCCAUUUCUAAGGUUGACCUCGGAUCAGGUAGGGAUACCCGCUGAACUUAAGCAUAUCAAUAAGCGGAGGAA